RNAcentral lists this ribosomal RNA (359 nucleotides) under uncultured bacterium. RNAcentral's name for it is "bacterial SSU rRNA". It matches the Rfam family "Bacterial small subunit ribosomal RNA", at positions 29 to 410 of the family's 1533-position model. The record is from RNAcentral.
AACGAACGCUGGCGGCAUGCCUAACACAUGCAAGUCGAACGAGACCUUCGGGUCUAGUGGCGCACGGGUGCGUAACGCGUGGGAACCUGCCUUUAGGUUCGGGAAUAACUCAGAGAAAUUUGAGCUAAUACCGGAUAAUGUCUUCGGACCAAAGAUUUAUCGCCUUUAGAUGGGCCCGCGUUGGAUUAGCUAGUUGGUGGGGUAAAGGCCUACCAAGGCGACGAUCCAUAGCUGGUCUGAGAGGAUGAUCAGCCACACUGGGACUGAGACACGGCCCACGACUCCUACGGGAGGCAGCAGUGGGGAAUAUUGGACAAUGGGCGGAAAGACCCUGAUCCAGCAAUGCCGCGUGAGUGAUG